Molecule: ribosomal RNA, 251 nt
Filed under: uncultured prokaryote
Description: partial 16S ribosomal RNA
Rfam family: Bacterial small subunit ribosomal RNA
Source: RNAcentral
UACGGAGGAUGCAAGCGUUAUCCGGAUUUAUUGGGUUUAAAGGGUGCGUAGGCGGAUAUGUAAGUCAGCGGUGAAACUCACAGGCUCAACCUGUGCCGUGCCGUUGAAACUGUGUAUCUGGAAUGCGGAUGCUGUGGGAGGAAUGUGUAGUGUAGCGGUGAAGUGCAUAGAUAUUACACAGAACACCGAUUGCGAAGGCAUCUCACAAAGCCGUUAUUGACGCUGAGGCACGAAAGUGUGGGGAUCAAACA